UUGGAGGGCAAGUCUGGUGCCAGCAGCCGCGGUAAUUCCAGCUCCAAUAGCGUAUAUUAAAGUUGUUGCAGUUAAAAAGCUCGUAGUUGAAUUUCGGGGUCAGCAAGUUGGUCGUGCCUCUGGUAUGCACUGGCUUUGCUGAUUCCUCCUUCUUGAAGAACUGUGAUGCUAUUAAUUUGGUGUUGCAGGGAAACAGGACUGUUACUUUGAAAAAAUUAGAGUGUUUAAAGCAGGCUAACGCUUGAAUACAUUAGCAUGAAAUAAUGAAAUAGGACGUUUGAUCCUAUUUUGUUGGUUUCUAGGAUUGACGUAAUGAUUAAUAGGGAUAGUUGGGGGCAUUAGUAUUCAAUUGUCAGAGGUGAAAUUCUUGGAUUUAUUGAAGACUGACUACUGCGAAAGCAUUUGCCAAGGAUGUUUUCAUUAAUCAAGAACGAAAGUUAGGGGAUCGAAGACGAUCAGAUACCGUCGUAGUCUUAACCAUAAACUAUGCCGACUAGGGAUCGGAUGAUGUUAAUUUUUUAAUGACUCAUUCGGCGCCUUACGGGAAAC
RNAcentral lists this ribosomal RNA (549 nucleotides) under uncultured Glomus. RNAcentral describes it as "SSU rRNA". It matches the Rfam family "Eukaryotic small subunit ribosomal RNA", at positions 548 to 1098 of the family's 1831-position model. Lineage: Eukaryota; Fungi; Glomeromycota; Glomeromycetes; Glomerales; Glomeraceae. The record is from RNAcentral.